UAAGGAAUAUUGGUCAAUGGACGCAAGUCUGAACCAGCCAUGCCGCGUGAAGGAUGAAGGUCCUCUGGAUUGUAAACUUCUUUUAUCUGGGACGAAAACGGGAUUUUUAUCUCAAUUGACGGUACCAGAGGAAUAAGCACCGGCUAACUCCGUGCCAGCAGCCGCGGUAAUACGGAGGGUGCGAGCGUUAUCCGGAUUUACUGGGUUUAAAGGGUGCGUAGGUGGGCUUAUAAGUCAGUGGUGAAAUCUCCGAGCUUAACUUGGAAACUGCCGUUGAUACUAUAGGUCUUGAAUUAUCUGGAUGUAAGCGGAAUAUGUCAUGUAGCGGUGAAAUGCUUAGAUAUGACAUAGAACACAAAUUGCGAAGGCAGCUUACUACAUAUAAAUUGACGCUGAGGCACGAAAGCGUGGGGAUCAAAC
This 420-nucleotide ribosomal RNA is filed under the name uncultured bacterium. Its description in RNAcentral is "bacterial SSU rRNA". It matches the Rfam family "Bacterial small subunit ribosomal RNA", at positions 355 to 773 of the family's 1533-position model. The record is from RNAcentral.